Molecule: long non-coding RNA, 5050 nt
Filed under: Taeniopygia guttata (zebra finch)
Lineage: Eukaryota; Metazoa; Chordata; Aves; Passeriformes; Estrildidae
Description: lncRNA (ENSTGUG00000024679.1)
Source: RNAcentral
AGGAGGAGGGGGGCUGGAUGCCACAGCCUUCCAGUAACUGUCUCUCCUCCAAAAUAUCACUUUUGCUUUCUUUGAAGAAAAGAAAGAAAUUAUAUUUAAAAAAAAAAAAACAAACCAACACAAGGAACUGCCCCAAUGUGUUUGCCUUGACAAUAACUGUACAUCUGCAACAGUUUAUCACUAUGGGAAAAUGAGUGGGUAAUAAAGUUUUGAUGUCGGCUGUUGCAUGUACAGAGGUAUCACAGGCUUUGAAAAUGAUUUGUUAUGUGAAUGCCCAUAGUAGCACCGAGGUUCAAAGGGAGGUGGUUUGUUUUUCGUGCCCAUUUAGUUAUGAAUAACACCAGCUCUAAUUUCCUCCUCCCACCAGCAAGCAGAGAGUCCUGCAUUGGAAGCCAAAUAUAGCAACAAAGAUUUCUAUCUCUGGCCAAAACCAAAAAAUCUGUUCCCUUUUAAGAAUAGCACUCUAUUCUUUUCUGAUGGAGAUGGAGAAAAAGAAAAUUCCACUUUAAGGAAGCCAGUUUCUCAGUGGGAAACUCCCUGGUCUCUCUCAAAUGGCCAGUGUAAAAGGUAUGCACUUAUUUUUUGGCAUCUCUGUGGAAGUCAAUGAGGAGGCUUCUGUAGAAUGCCAUCAGUAUAGUCCUUCUGGGGCUGCAGUCUGAAUAAAUCUUCCCUACUUGCUGGUGUGUUUUUCCUGCACUGCCCCACUGCUGUCUUGUGAGCAACAGGGCCCAUGCUGAAUGGGAAUGCCACAAAUUGUUCAAUACCCCUGCUCGCUCUGCACCCUUUUCUUUCUGGUUUUCUUUUGUGGAGAAGUGAAUCCCUUGGCUCUGAGGGACAGACCCCUGCUCCACCUGACAAGGCAGCUUGGUGAGGUAAUGGGGAGCAGCAGUCCAUUAUCCCUCCUACCCCUUGGUUUUCUAAUUGGGGGAGGAUGUGGGAAGUCAUCCCUGUGCUCCUUCCCGAGACUUCCCAGCUGCGUUGUGCCCCAGAGAGUGAUUGUGGGCAGCGGGGCUGCCCAGGCUGGGUGGGCUGGGAGAGAUGGAUGCUGUAAAAAGAAAAAACAGAAACGUUUGUGGUAAAGCUCUUCCUCAGGUGAUGAUCUGACCUUUUCUGGGUGGGAGUUGAUACCCUCUGAAGAUGAGCGUGCAUGUGGGUGUCACUGCCUGUUUGUAAGCUAGGAUAUGCUUUUAGGAAGAGGCACACACCUACACCCACACGCCCUUUCUGAUCUUGAACUCGGAUUUUUUAAACUUCUCUACACCAUCCGAGGAGGGCUAUUCAGCCUUUCCUUCGAAGGACUUAUUCCCAUUCCAGCCCACCCCCACCACCCACCCAUAAGCAACUGCCAUGUGUGACAUGUGAGCAGAAAAUGCCCUUUCUCUCAUGUAGCAGCUGUCCUUGUUUUAGAAGUGUUGCUUCAUUCAUUUGCAGACUGUUUGGCUGAAGGCCUUUGCUGUAAGGUGAAUGCUGAAGGAUUAGAGUUAGCUCUUCCUGAUUUGGAAAACUCUGACUUCUUUUUCUUUUUUUUUUUUUUUCCCUUUUUUUUUUUUUUGAGCCUUGGACCCCUAAUGCAUUUUAAAAACAAUGCAGGGAAGUGUCAUCCAGUAAAUAUAUUUGCACUGGAUCUGUUUUACCAGACGUGUUUCUGAUGGAGUUUUAAAUAAACACAAGGAUGUUUGGAAAUAUCUUGUGGAUGUAAAUAUGUAAAAUAUGCAAAACAAAGCUGACAGCUGUGGGGUGUACUCAUUGCUCACGUGAGAAGGCUUUGUGUAAUGUUUUUUUCCAUCAUCCUGUCUUUUUUUUUUUUUUUUUUUUUAAGCAUCUGUGUCUGUUCCAAGAUAAUCUGUGAUUCCCUCUGGACAGAGAGGGAGGCGGCUGGAAGGGCCGGAGCGAUUCUCCUGAAGUGUGUCUGUGAAGAGCCUCCUGGUGAUGGUGGAACUGCUUUCCACGGAGCACCUGGGUGCAGCACACGGAAUCCCUCCUGGCUGGAGCUGGGACAGUGCUGGCUCUGGCUGAAGUUGGCCCUUCGGGAGGGGCAGUGGGAGAGCAGAGCUGUCCUUGGGCAGUGCCACGCAAGGAGCGUGACAGCAGCGUUAGUCACCAGCGCACGGAGCUCCGUUGCCUCAGCUGAGUCUGUUGCUUAGGAGAGGACGAGUUUUGCAACCUCAGUUUAGCCUCUCUUUAGCCAGGGAGAUCUGAAGCCUACAUCCCCAUGUCAGGCAUAGGGAGCACUACAGUGAGAAGGGAAAAAUAAAAUCACCAAAACCCUUAACAUUUUUUUUUUUUAAUUGAGCGUUAUGCUGCUUUUUUAGACACCCUUCCAGAGGGUAAUUAAUCCUCUAUGCAUAGUAACUGUACCACUUCCAAGUUCUACAGGAUAUUUGGUGUGACUUAGCCACCUGUUGUUUUUACUGAUUUUUUUCCACCUCUUUCCUUGCUCUUGUUUUCCAGUCCCACUGCUUUAAGGGCAGUGUUCCAAAGUCCUGGCUGUCUGCCAGUGUGGAUGUCCAGGCCCAUGGGGCAGCAGCUCUUGGUUACACUUCUGUGUGCACACUGAGUUUGUCCUGUCCAUCAACUGGGACAUUUGGAUGUGCAAAUGUCCAAAGGUGCAGAACAAGUGCAAGCUCCUUCUGUUUGCUUGGAGGUUUCAGUCACGCUUGGCAGGAGCAGCAGCCUGGUUGAAGGACAAAGUGGAAGUACAGCAGCUCAGGAGACCUUCUGGCUCCCUCAGGAAAAGUCUGGUUUAUUCUGUCCAGGGAAAUGGCUUAAGUGCAUCAGAUUUGCUGCUGCUCGUUCUCCUUGCUCCCAGGCAGUCUUCUUUGCCUUGCUGUCACUGACAUUUCUCUGUGAACAUCCUUGAGGAGAUCUGUGUGAGAUCCAGCACUGAACCUCAACAUCACCUGACCUGUGUUGUAAUGUCACCUUUCCUGUGUUCCCAUCACUGUGGGGAUAGACACUCUGGCAAUCUGUAGCAAUUUGCAAUCCUUUAAUGCUACAUUCUCCUACUUCACAGAGUUCUCAAGUGAACUCAUUUCCUUGGCUCUUACCCCACAUAAAAUCUUGCAGUGACUGCAUAUAUUCCAUCAUACUCCAGUUUCACCUGGAAAUGACCAGAAAUCGCCAUCAGUCUGGAUGAUGCAGCAGAGUCUUUGAAGUCACUGUUAAAGCCUGUGGCUCAAAAAAAUGUGACCGCUUUGUGGCUCAUAUGUGGCCAGGUUUUCUGUACUCACCUUUGAUGGAGAAAUAAUUGCUUUCUACAUGAAGGUAGACACCAAAAGACCAGAAUACCUUACUUGUGCCAGAUUUGGAUGACCCAAACAGAGGCAGAAACACUCAAGAAUGGGACACUGAACUUCUUUCUUUCCUCUUCCAUCCAAUGCCUGCAUGUUGUGCUGCACAUCAAGACAUGGCAUUUCAUUCUUCACCUCAGAUCCCUGGGCAGGAAGGAAUUUCUUUUAGUUGCUUUGUGUCUGUGAUACUUUGCAGUGUGUACUGGUCCUGUCAAACAGGCACUGGAACCAGUUGGACAGUGCCUGACCAGCAAAACCUUGAUGUUCUUUGUGGACAAACUCAUCAUUCGCAGUGGGCACUUGAAAAACAGUGUUUAUGGUGAGGGAAAUUGAUAACAAACUGGGAAUCAUAUCAGUUUUUAAAUUUGGAUUUGAAACAUAGAGAAACUUUACAUCGAAAGUAUUCCCCAAGCUUCAGAUCUGUGCCUUCAGAAAUUCCCUUCUAAUAGUUUGGGCUGUAUUUCUGUGGUUCUUAACAAAGGUUCUCCCUAAAGUGAAGGAGAGGAUGCAGCUGUCAUCCAUGACAGACAUUGCUAAUUAUUUUUCAUUUUGCUGUUUGCUAGUUUGCAGAGGUUUGAGAGGAAGUAUAGAGAAUCCAGAUAAAACCUCCAGUUCUCCUGUGCACAGUUUUAAUUCACCAUUACAAAGGCUCUUAUGCAAAUCUUAGACCUGAGAUUUCAUAUUUUCUUUAUAUGAAAUCAGUAAUCAUUGUAAUUUCAUUUCAGCUGGAAUAUUAUUUUCCCUUUUUUUUUCUUUUCUGUUUGAUGGGUCAGAUUUAAACCAUCUGCAGGCAGAUGGAAAGGAAAAGUGGAAUUAUUGUUUUCACCAAAAAAUUUUGCAGCUGUCAGGGUGUGUUUGACACAAGCCUGAUGGCUGAAAACAGAGACAGGACACGUUGUCCCGGCUGGAUAUCAGAGAGCACAAGAACUCUUCAUGGCCAACUCUUACUUGGAGAACUUGGGGCUAAACGAGGUAAACAAGGUCAUUAUUUAGCCAUACUCAAGGGCUUUUCAGAGAGAAUUAUUCACUGAAUUAUGUACUGCUUCUGCUGGGCUUCAGUGAGACUCUUGGUCGGGUUUUGGCCUGAGGGGGUGGCUCUCCAGCUGACAGUCACAAUGUCGCAUUGACAGCGUUUGUCACUGUCACACCGCAUGGCAGGGGCUGCAGCCAUCGCUCCCAGUACCUGUCAGGAGAUAUUGCUUUUAUAAUCUGGGUUAAUUUAUGGCCCCAUCAUUAAUAACCACAGCUGAUGAAAAAGGGCUGGAAGCAGAGCUUUUUAGGAGGGACACCAGGAGCUGUGACUCAACCCCUCCCAGCAGGGAUGGGAUUGUUGCUUCAUGUCCAACACUAGUGGCUUCUCAGGGAUACGAACACUACUACUGCUUUUUGAAGCAGUCUUUCCCACAGGAUUCAGCCUGUGAGAGCUGGAUCCACCAGUGCGAGCUUGUGCACCUUGCUGCUGGUGCUCUUGUUAGUCUUUGUAAGAGUGGCCAUUCCUUCUGUUUGCACCAAGCUGGGAAUCUUCAGGAACCAUAAAUAAGUUUCCAAAGUGGUCUAAAACUCAAAUCUUCUUAUGCAUAUACCAGUAUAUUUGCAUGAAGAGUGCAAUUCUUUGUUGUCAAUGUCAAGUUUAUGACUGCUAGGCCUUCAUGAUAUCUGCUAUUUUCCAUUUAAUGAGAGAUUUCUGCUGGGGUGGUGUAUGUUGGUUUGUUGUUUGGGGUUUUUCAAUGUUGGCAUAAGCAACAUGGGCUAAGACAGUU